UACGUAGGGUGCGAGCGUUAAUCGGAAUUACUGGGCGUAAAGUGUGCGCAGGCGGCAAAGCAAGUCGAGUGUGAAAGCCCCGGGCUUAACUUGGGAAUUGCGCUCGAAACUACUUUGCUGGAGUGUGGCAGAGGAAGGUGGAAUUCCACGUGUAGCGGUGAAAUGCGUAGAGAUGUGGAGGAACACCAAUGGCGAAGGCAGCCUUCUGGGCCAACACUGACACUGAGGAGCGAAAGCCAGGGGAGCAAACGGG
RNAcentral lists this ribosomal RNA (253 nucleotides) under uncultured bacterium. Its description in RNAcentral is "partial 16S ribosomal RNA". It matches the Rfam family "Bacterial small subunit ribosomal RNA", at positions 524 to 776 of the family's 1533-position model. The record is from RNAcentral.